UCUGGUGGCUGUUGCGAAGUGGAACCACCCGUUACCAUCUCGAACACGGAAGUGAAACGCCUCAGCGCUCACGAUACUGCAUUCGCGAGGAUGUGGGAAAAUAGGUCGCUGCCAGAG
Molecule: ribosomal RNA, 117 nt
Filed under: Chloroflexota bacterium
Lineage: Bacteria; Bacillati; Chloroflexota
Also listed under: 1 other name
Source: RNAcentral